RNAcentral lists this long non-coding RNA (3382 nucleotides) under Malus domestica (apple). RNAcentral's name for it is "long non-coding RNA (MDOM_LNC014192)". Lineage: Eukaryota; Viridiplantae; Streptophyta; Magnoliopsida; Rosales; Rosaceae. The record is from RNAcentral.
AAAUUGGAUUUUAAUCUUACAUAUGGUUAUAAUCUAAAACUCAUCUUUUUUAGGGAUUAAAAUGAAGUUUUCUAUAUAUAAUUAUGCAUCAGAGGAGAUGAGACAUUCUGUCCUAUCUAGAGAAUAUGGCGAUGUAGUUUCAGUGAUCGCUUUCUGCCAUACAAUGUGCUCACAGAUGCCUGGUUUUUUUACAUAUAACUUUAAUAAAACUUUGAGUGAGAUUAAAGAAUUAGCUGGAGACUUACAGCUGCAACCAGAAUUUUUUUCUGCUUCAAAUCAGAAAAUUUCGAAGUUGAGGCGUAGUCGACAUGAAGAGCGUCGCAUGCUUCUUCAAAAUUUAGACCCCCUUUGGUAAUUAUUUUUAUUUUUAAUUUUUAAAUUUUUGUGUUUAAGAUAUGAAGAAAAUAUAUGGAAGAAAUGAGGGACGAAAAAGACAAUGAGAGCGAGAGAGAAGAAUUACAGAAGAAUAAAUGAAAAGAAAAUCUAGAAAGUUAAAACAAGGGGUGUGCUAUCCACACAUCUCAUUUUACUUCUCACACAUCCUUUGAUAAUUUCUGUCCAUUGAUCUUCUUCAAUUCAUUUGAUCUGACAGCCGAAAAUUAAAAAGGUGUGUGAGAAGUAAAAUUGAGUGUGGAUAUCAUAUCCCUAAAACAACUAUAGUUUUAGUUGUUGGUUUUUAGUUUUGAUUUGUGUCUCUAUCCUUGAAUGUUUAUUCUAUAUAUACCCAACAUUCUUCCUCCAUUCUAUUUUCUUCAUUUCUCUCAUGUAUUUUUCCUCUAUUUCAAACACAAAUAAUGUAGAUAAAAAAACUAAAAGUUAAAUAGUUAUCAAAUAAGAACCUCAAUUUUAGUAAGAGCCUAAUUCUAUUUCUAACUCAUUUUUCAAUAUUUUCCAUGAAAACUUGAAUGUUACACAUUGUUCUAAAAUUUCCCACUUAGCACCGCAUAAGUGCUAGGCAACUAGCCACCUCUCCUAUUAAUCCCUCGGCCUUUAAAAAUUAAGAAAGAGCAUAUGGACUUGCUUAGGGGUCCGCCUAAGUCGCAACUCUCAUUUGCACAGAAAAUAGAUAACUUUUAUUUUGCAUUUUAUUUUUUAUGUAAAUUGUACGAGACUUGUUGAAUAUUUGGAUGAAUACUCAUUAUAUGUUUGUUUCCCAUGUUUUCAAUAUGUCUAAUACUUUUUACUCUAUAGAGUUGUUUCUCAUGCUUUCAAUAUGUUAUAAUACUUUAUAAUUUAUAAAGUGAUGAUACACUUACUAUCUAUUUGUAUCAUCUCUUUAACAGAGGUAGGGUCCACCAUCAUAUGUGGGUCUCAUCCCUACUAGAGAGGUGGUCAAAAGAUGGUACAAGGUAAGAGUAAUAUUUUUGUAAUAUAUAUGUCCUAUUUUGCAAUUUAUCUAUUCCAAUAUAAUUAUGUAUUUUUUAAGUAUAAGUAGGCAUUUAUUUAUUUGUUAUUAUAUGUUAUAUAUUGAAUUUAAUUAAUAUUAAAAAAAAUGCCUUCCUGCCCGCCUAGACACCUAGACGCUAUACUAAGCCCGCUGCCCAACUAGCACAUUGUAGAACCUUGACGUUACCAAAGAGGUUUUAUUGAAAAAAAAAUGAAAAAAAAAAGUUAUACCUAGUGAGGGGACAUAAGAGCAAUUCCAUCCCUAAAAAAUGAGCUGACCCAAAGUUCAUUUAAUCCACCCAAAUGAAUAGUAAUUGACUGCAAUGAACAAUAUUUAGUCAAAUGCAUCUCGACCCCUAAAAAAUGAGCUAACCUAGAGUCUAGUUAAUUCGUAUUAAAAUAUUAUUAAAUUUUUAAUAAAAUAAUCAAAAAUAAUUUUAUUUUUUAAUUUCGGAUAGAAUUUUUAACCAAUUUUGUCACGCUAUGUGUCAUUUUUCGAAAGUACAAUUUUUGUAGAAGAUGGUUAGGUAUUUAUAUAAAAAAAUGGGUUUUUUCUGUAUUUUUAAACAAUUUUUAUAAUUUUUUAUUAAGUCAAUUAAUCUGGCUCGUUGCAUUUCAAAAAGGUUGAAAUCCAACAACCCAAAAGUGGACAUAUGGCCCAUGGUGAGAUUCUGACAAAAUUUUUUUUUUAGGCUGGAAUGCUUACUACAUUCAAAAUGUUGUUUUCAUUGAUUAAAUGUGAACUAGUGAAUGGUGAUUAUGAUUAAGUAUGCUCAAGGGUAAGGAUUGCUUAAAUCUAUGUAAGUGAUGAUCUUUGGCAAGUCAUGUUUCAUUAAAAAUCCCUGAGGCAAUUGUUGGAAGGUCUAGGUUGUGUUUUGUUUUGUUUUGUUUUGUUUGUUUUGUUUUGCUCGAGGACUAGCAAAAGCUAAGUAUGGGGGAAUUUGAUAGGAGCAUAUUUAUGUGACUUAGUUGGCUUGUUUCUUGGCAUUUAUGUUGUUAGUUCGUAGUUAUUUUAGUAUUUUAAGCUAUUUUCGUGUGUUUGAAGGUCCAAAGGGUUAAUGUGGCAAGGAAGUGCAUUUUGGAGUAUUUUUGGACAUGGAAUGGAUAGCAUAUGCUUGGAGCAAAAGGAAUAGACGAAAUUUGAAGUUUGUGCAUCAUCCUCUCUCUAUAAAUAACCAUUUUAGUACACUCAUUUCACCCAACACAUUCACCUACCACUACAUCCACUCAUUUCACCCAACACAUCCAUUCACCUACCACUACAUCCACUCAUUUCACCCAACACAUCCACUCAUUACAACCACCCAACACAUUCACCUAUGAUAGGAGCAUAUUUAUGCGCCUUAGUUUAGCUUGUUCUUGUGCAUUUAUAGUGUUUUUACUUAGUAAAGUAGUCUUUUAAGCUAGUUUUAUGUGUUUUCAGGUUCUAAGGGCAAAGUAUGCAAAGAGGUGCGAAAUUGAGCAUUUUAGAGCAAAAUUGAGCUGGAAUGGAGUGUAUGCUAAUGGAGCACAAGGAAUGGACGAGUUUGAAGGUCAAAGGAGCUUAAGAAAUGAAGAAAUGCAAGUGAAGAACAAAGAAUUCAGAUUUGGAAACCAAAGUUUCUAAAGUUGGAAGUUUCUAUUCUUGGAGGUUUCCAUUUUCGAGAGUUUCUAUUCUUGGCUUUGGGCUUUUAGAUGACCUAAACCCUAAUUCCUUGUGGACCCUAACCCUAGCCGCACCUAGGCCUCUAGAAUAUCUGAUUUCCUUGCCUUGCAAGGCGUUCUAGAAGGCCCAUCUCUAAACCCUAACCCUAGCCGCACCUUAGGCCUUAUUCCCACUAAAAAUCUGAUUGUUUUAACCUAAUUUCUAGUGGAUUUGGGCUUCUAGAAACCCUAAUCUGAUUACCCUAGGGUUUUGGAUGCCUAUAUAUACUCAUUACAACCCCUAGAUCAGAUCACAACCCUCUCCAUAAUCCAGAAAUUAAUCCUUCACGCCAGAAACCAUUCCCCAUCUUCA